This 443-nucleotide long non-coding RNA is filed under the name Homo sapiens (human). RNAcentral's name for it is "HSALNT0018781". Lineage: Eukaryota; Metazoa; Chordata; Mammalia; Primates; Hominidae. The record is from RNAcentral.
AGAGAGUUCUCUACCCCUGCUCCCACCAUCUAAAGAUACAAAAAGAAGUCAGUAGUCUGCAGCUUGGAAGAGGUCCCUCACCAGAGGCCAACUCUACUGGCACCCUCAUUGGAAACUUCCAGCUUCCAGAGCUUGGAGGACUCCAGUGCCCUAGAUGAUGGCAGAGCCACUUCAUGGGAGAAGUCUGGAUCCAUGGAUGACCAUCAACCAGAGGCUCCCCUCUCCUCUUCCCUGCAUUGGACUGUGCCAUGAAGCAUAAAUAAACUUUAAUUGUGUAUUAAAAAUAUGAGAGGAGUUAUUUUUUUCUUAAAUGGCAGUUAGCAUAGCCUGACUAAAACAGAAAUCUUACAAAACUAGUAAAACAUAAAUUGAAUUUUCUUCUGGAGUACACCCUUGAGAUAAAAUAGAAAAACACUCCCAUCUCUGGUGAGUAAUUUUAUGAA